RNAcentral lists this ribosomal RNA (275 nucleotides) under uncultured bacterium. RNAcentral describes it as "partial 16S ribosomal RNA". It matches the Rfam family "Bacterial small subunit ribosomal RNA", at positions 399 to 691 of the family's 1533-position model. The record is from RNAcentral.
GCGUGAGUGAAGAAGGCCUUCGGGUUGUAAAGCUCUUUCGACGGGGACGAUGAUGACGGUACCCGUAUAAGAAGCCCCGGCUAACUUCGUGCCAGCAGCCGCGGUAAUACGAAGGGGGCUAGCGUUGUUCGGAAUUACUGGGCGUAAAGCGCGCGUAGGCGGCGACCUUUGUCAGAGGUGAAAUCCCGAGGCUCAACUUCGGAAUUGCCUUUGAAACGGGGUUGCUUGAGUCCGAGAGAGGAUGGCGGAAUUCCUAGUGUAGAGGUGAAAUUCGU